Molecule: ribosomal RNA, 923 nt
Filed under: uncultured bacterium
Lineage: Bacteria
Description: bacterial SSU rRNA
Rfam family: Bacterial small subunit ribosomal RNA
Source: RNAcentral
AGAGUUUGAUCCUGGCUCAGAACGAACGCUGGCGGCGUGGCUAAGACAUGCAAGUCGAACGGACUGCUCAAUUUAUUGGACAGUUAGUGGCGAAAGGGUUAGUAACGGGUAGGUAACGUACCCUGUGCUUUGGGAUAGCGUCAUCCCGACUUCGGUCGGGAUUUCCGAAAGGGGCGGUAAUACCAAAUAAUAUCAUUUGUCUAUAGGCGGAUGAUCAAAGAUUUAUCGGCACAGGAGCGGCCUGCCUCCUAUCAGCUUGUUGGUGAGGUAACGGCUCACCAAGGCAGCGACGGGUAGCGGGACUGAGAGGUUGGCCCGCAACAUCGGGACUGAGACACUGCCCGGACCUCCACGGAGGGCUGCAGUAACGAAUAUUGUGCAAUGGGCGAAAGCCUGACACAGCGACGCCGCGUGUAGGAGGAAGUCCUUAGGGAUGUAAACUACUGUCAGGGGGAAGAAAGUGCGCUUCGGCGUAUUGAUCUAACCCAAAGGAAGUCACGGCUAACUUCGUGCCAGCAGCCGCGGUAAGACGAAGGUGGCAAGCGUUGUUCGGUAUCACUGGGCUUAAAGCGUGUGUAGGCGGAAAAGUAAGCGUUUCGUGAAAGCCCCCGGCUUAACCGGGGAACUGCGCAACGAACUGCUUUUCUUGAGGCAAGUAGGGGUGCAUGGAACUCUUGGUGGAGCGGUGGAAUGCGUAGAUAUCAAGAGGAACGCCAGUGGAGAAAUCGGUGCACUGGGCUUGUCCUGACGCUGAGACACGAAAGCGUGGGUAGCGAACGGGAUUAGAUACCCCGGUAGUCCACGCCGUAAACGAUGCCUACUAGGUUGUGAAAGUUCUGACACUGGCACAGCCGAAGCAAAAGUGUUAAGUAGGCCGCCUGGGGGAGUACGGUCGCAAGGCUAAAACUCAAAUGAAUUGACAG